AUGAACGCUAGCGACAGGCCUAACACAUGCAAGUCGAGGGGCAGCGCGGAGCAAGCUUGCUUGUUCUGGCGGCGACCGGCGCACGGGUGCGUAACAGGUGUGCAAUCUGUCCAUAAUCGGGGAAUAGCCCAGCGAAAGUUGGAUUAAUGCUCCAUGUGAGUAAGAGAGGCAUCUCUUUUAUUUGAAACGCAAGGAUUAUGGGUGAGCACGCUUCUGAUUAGGUAGUUGGUGAGGUAACGGCUCACCAAGCCGACGAUCAGUAGGGGUUCUGAGAGGAAGGUCCCCCACACUGGUACUGAGACACGGACCAGACUCCUACGGGAGGCAGCAGUGAGGAAUAUUGGUCAAUGGGCGAGAGCCUGAACCAGCCAAGUCGCGUGAGGGACGACGGUACUAAGUAUUGUAAACCUCUUUUGUCAGGGAACAAAGAGACCACGUGUGGUAAGAUGAGUGUACCUGAAGAAAAAGCAUCGGCUAACUCCGUG
RNAcentral lists this ribosomal RNA (485 nucleotides) under uncultured bacterium. Its description in RNAcentral is "bacterial SSU rRNA". It matches the Rfam family "Bacterial small subunit ribosomal RNA", at positions 29 to 507 of the family's 1533-position model. The record is from RNAcentral.